UACAGAGGGUGCGAGCGUUAAUCGGAAUUACUGGGCGUAAAGCGCACGUAGUCGGCUUUGCAAGUCGGUUGUGAAAUCCCCGGGCUCAACCUGGGAACUGCAUCCGAGACUGCAUUGCUAGAGUAUGGGAGAGGAAAGCGGAAUUUCUGGUGUAGCAGUGAAAUGCGUAGAUAUCAGAAGGAACAUCAGUGGCGAAAGCGACUUCCUGGACCAAUACUGACGCUCAUGUGCGAAAGCGUGGGGAGCAAACAGG
RNAcentral lists this ribosomal RNA (253 nucleotides) under uncultured bacterium. Its description in RNAcentral is "partial 16S ribosomal RNA". It matches the Rfam family "Bacterial small subunit ribosomal RNA", at positions 524 to 776 of the family's 1533-position model. The record is from RNAcentral.